CCUACGGGAGGCAGCAGUGGGGAAUUUUGGACAAUGGGCGAAAGCCUGAUCCAGCCAUGCCGCGUGCAGGAUGAAGGCCUUCGGGUUGUAAACUGCUUUUGUACGGAACGAAAAGACUCUGGUUAAUACCUGGGGUCCAUGACGGUACCGUAAGAAUAAGCACCGGCUAACUACGUGCCAGCAGCCGCGGUAAUACGUAGGGUGCGAGCGUUAAUCGGAAUUACUGGGCGUAAAGCGUGCGCAGGCGGUUAUAUAAGACAGAUGUGAAAUCCCCGGGCUCAACCUGGGAACUGCAUUUGUGACUGUAUAGCUAGAGUACGGCAGAGGGGGAUGGAAUUCCGCGUGUAGCAGUGAAAUGCGUAGAUAUGCGGAGGAACACCGAUGGCGAAGGCAAUCCCCUGGGCCUGUACUGACGCUCAUGCACGAAAGCGUGGGGAGCAAACAGGAUUAGAUACCCUGGUAGUCCACGCCCUAAACGAUGUCAACUGGUUNUUGGGUCUUCACUGACUCAGUAACGAAGCUAACGCGUGAAGUUGACCGCCUGGGGAGUACGGCCGCAAGGUUGAAACUCAAAGAGAGUAGAGNGNGAGAGAGCGACGACGACGACGAGGGAGAGG
This 617-nucleotide ribosomal RNA is filed under the name uncultured bacterium. RNAcentral's name for it is "bacterial SSU rRNA". It matches the Rfam family "Bacterial small subunit ribosomal RNA", at positions 338 to 950 of the family's 1533-position model. The record is from RNAcentral.